UAGGGAAUCUUCCACAAUGGACGCAAGUCUGAUGGAGCAACGCCGCGUGAGUGAAGAAGGGUUUCGGCCCGUAAAGCUCUGUUGUUAAAGAAGAACGUGGGUAAGAGUAACUGUUUACCCAGUGACGGUAUUUAACCAGAAAGCCACGGCUAACUACGUGUCAG
This 164-nucleotide ribosomal RNA is filed under the name uncultured bacterium. RNAcentral's name for it is "partial 16S ribosomal RNA". It matches the Rfam family "Bacterial small subunit ribosomal RNA", at positions 355 to 511 of the family's 1533-position model. The record is from RNAcentral.